AGGCAUUUUUAAUAACUUUUUGAGUUGCGCCAUCUCUUAAAGUUUAAAAACCGAAUUAAAUCUAAUAUACAGGGUGAAACAAAAGUAGCUAAUAAAUACGCCAUUUGAAAAUUAAAUCAAUUAAAUCAUAAUAGUAGCAGGGAAUGUAGAGAGGCGAAGAGUGAUAGAUAGAUACUAUAUAUAUAGAUACUAUAGAGGCCAGGAGAAAUUACAAAGAAGAAUGCAAGAAAAAGAAGGAGGAUCUUUUUGACACUUUCAAGUUAUACGAAAAUAUUAUCAACAUGAUCCCCCAAAAGAUUGUUUAUUCGGAUAUCAUCGG
Non-coding RNA from Onthophagus taurus, 319 nucleotides. The record is from RefSeq and is a predicted model, not a curated record. NCBI's taxonomy places the organism in Eukaryota, Metazoa, Arthropoda, Insecta, Coleoptera, Scarabaeidae.